RNAcentral lists this ribosomal RNA (253 nucleotides) under uncultured bacterium. RNAcentral's name for it is "partial 16S ribosomal RNA". It matches the Rfam family "Bacterial small subunit ribosomal RNA", at positions 524 to 776 of the family's 1533-position model. The record is from RNAcentral.
UACGUAGGGGGCAAGCGUUGUCCGGAUUUAUUGGGCGUAAAGAGCGUGUAGGCGGUUAGGUAGGUCCGUUGUGAAAACUCGAGGCUCAACCUCAAGACGCCGAUGGAAACCAUCUGACUAGAGUCCGGAAGAGGAGAGUGGAAUUCCUGGUGUAGCGGUGAAAUGCGCAGAUAUCAGGAAGAACACCCGUGGCUAAGGCGGUUCUCUAGUACGGUACUGACGCUGAGACGCGAAAGCGUGGGGAGCGAACAGG